Molecule: ribosomal RNA, 453 nt
Filed under: uncultured organism
Description: partial 16S ribosomal RNA
Rfam family: Bacterial small subunit ribosomal RNA
Source: RNAcentral
GUACACUCCUGCGGGAGGCAGCAGUGGGGAAUAUUGGACAAUGGGCGCAAGCCUGAUCCAGCCAUGCCGCGUGAGUGAUGAAGGCCCUAGGGUUGUAAAGCUCUUUCACCGGUGAAGAUAAUGACGGUAACCGGAGAAGAAGCCCCGGCUAACUUCGUGCCAGCAGCCGCGGUAAUACGAAGGGGGCUAGCGUUGUUCGGAUUUACUGGGCGUAAAGCGCACGUAGGCGGACUAUUAAGUCAGGGGUGAAAUCCCGGGGCUCAACCCCGGAACUGCCUUUGAUACUGGUAGUCUUGAGUUCGAGAGAGGGGAGUGGAAUUCCGAGUGUAGAGGUGAAAUUCGUAGAUAUUCUGAGGAACACCAGUGGCGAAGGCGGCUCACUGGCUCGAUACUGACGCUGAGGUGCGAAAGCGUGGGGAGCAAACAGGAUUAGAUACCCGGGUAGUCCCAUGA